RNAcentral lists this long non-coding RNA (449 nucleotides) under Manacus vitellinus (golden-collared manakin). Its description in RNAcentral is "lncRNA (ENSMVIG00005002431.1)". The record is from RNAcentral. Lineage: Eukaryota; Metazoa; Chordata; Aves; Passeriformes; Pipridae.
AUGUCCGAAGUGAAACAUUUUUAUAAGAAGAUCAGCGAGAUGCCAAAGCUCUUCCAGGAGGUGCAAAAGGAGGUUGAUAAUUUACUGCCAUCACUGUCUUCGUCUCCCAUCUCACCUGAAAAUUUCAGAGUCUACUUGAUCUUGCCUUUCAUUCUGCAGGGGAAGGAUAAAAGCUGUUACCAUUCACUGAGGCUUCUAGCACAAGCCAUCAUGAAGCUCCAGCCAGAGGACCUGCAAACUCUUGAGUGCCUGUGGUCAAAUCUGGAAACAUCCUCUUUCAAGGAGCUGGUCAGUCUGUAUCAGAGGGUUUCCCAGGAUAACCUGUCUCAAUUUAACAUAGAAUUACACAACUGUGGGCCAAGAGACCCCUUCAACCUGUACCCAGAUGAAAUAGUGCCUCUGCAAAUACUGCAGAUGCUUUACCAGGUGAGAAAGUACUUGGAUCCUCA